RNAcentral lists this transfer RNA (77 nucleotides) under Gammaproteobacteria bacterium. Its description in RNAcentral is "tRNA-Val". It matches the Rfam family "tRNA". From Rfam's summary of the family: Transfer RNA (tRNA) molecules are approximately 80 nucleotides in length. RNAcentral also lists the same sequence under 2 other names. The record is from RNAcentral. Lineage: Bacteria; Pseudomonadati; Pseudomonadota; Gammaproteobacteria.
AGGCGCGUAGCUCAGUUGGUUAGAGCGCUAUCUUGACAUGGUAGAGGUCCCCGGUUCGAAUCCGGGCGUGCCUACCA